GCUGGUGUAGCUCAGUAGGCAGAGCAACUGACUUGUAAUCAGUAGGUCGGGGGUUCGAUUCCCUCCACCAGCUCCA
Molecule: transfer RNA, 76 nt
Filed under: Halomonadaceae bacterium
Lineage: Bacteria; Pseudomonadati; Pseudomonadota; Gammaproteobacteria; Oceanospirillales; Halomonadaceae
Description: tRNA-Thr
Rfam family: tRNA
About the family: Transfer RNA (tRNA) molecules are approximately 80 nucleotides in length. Their secondary structure includes four short double-helical elements and three loops (D, anti-codon, and T loops). Further hydrogen bonds mediate the characteristic L-shaped molecular structure. tRNAs have two regions of fundamental functional importance: the anti-codon, which is responsible for specific mRNA codon recognition, and the 3' end, to which the tRNAs corresponding amino acid is attached (by aminoacyl-tRNA synthetases). tRNAs cope with the degeneracy of the genetic code in two manners: having more than one tRNA (with a specific anti-codon) for a particular amino acid; and 'wobble' base-pairing, i.e. permitting non-standard base-pairing at the 3rd anti-codon position.
Source: RNAcentral